GAGCAUUUAGUCUAAUUAAGAUAAUUGAUUUCGACUCAAUUAAUUCUAGUUAAAUCUAGAAAUACUCU
RNAcentral lists this transfer RNA (68 nucleotides) under Batrachoseps nigriventris (black-bellied slender salamander). Its description in RNAcentral is "tRNA-Arg". It matches the Rfam family "tRNA". Rfam says of the family: Transfer RNA (tRNA) molecules are approximately 80 nucleotides in length. The record is from RNAcentral. Lineage: Eukaryota; Metazoa; Chordata; Amphibia; Caudata; Plethodontidae.